Molecule: RNase P RNA, 255 nt
Filed under: Candidatus Aenigmatarchaeota archaeon
Lineage: Archaea; Nanobdellati; Candidatus Aenigmatarchaeota
Description: RNase P RNA component
Rfam family: Archaeal RNase P
About the family: Ribonuclease P (RNase P) is a ubiquitous endoribonuclease, found in archaea, bacteria and eukarya as well as chloroplasts and mitochondria. Its best characterised activity is the generation of mature 5'-ends of tRNAs by cleaving the 5'-leader elements of precursor-tRNAs.
Source: RNAcentral
GUAAGCUAAGUAAACGGCUUCGGUCUUCUGUCAAAGGAAGACUGAGGAAGUUCCGCUCAUACAAGAGAACCAUGAAAAUGGUAGUCUGAGAGGGCUGUAUUGAUAUCAGAAACGAGACCAAUCAAUUACAAUUAACGAUGAUAUAAAUGAGCUGUAGUUGACAGGUUGAAACGGAUCAAUGCUCUCAAUGGUAUGCAAGCAUUAAGCGCUUAGAUAAAUGCCGUUAAAACAGAAAGUGGACUAUUCUUAGCAUGC